UACGGAGGGGACUAGCGUUGUUCGGAAUUACUGGGCGUAAAGCGCACGUAGGCGGAUUUGUAAGUCAGGGGUGAAAUCCCGGGGCUCAACCUCGGAACUGCCUUUGAUACUGCGAAUCUCGAGUCCGGAAGAGGUGAGUGGAAUUCCUAGUGUAGAGGUGAAAUUCGUAGAUAUUGGGAAGAACACCGAUGGCGAAGGCAGCCAUCUGGACCGACACUGACGCUGAGGCGCGAAAGCGUGGGGAGCAAACAGG
This 253-nucleotide ribosomal RNA is filed under the name uncultured bacterium. RNAcentral's name for it is "partial 16S ribosomal RNA". It matches the Rfam family "Bacterial small subunit ribosomal RNA", at positions 524 to 776 of the family's 1533-position model. The record is from RNAcentral.